Molecule: small nuclear RNA, 181 nt
Organism: Heterocephalus glaber (naked mole-rat)
Lineage: Eukaryota; Metazoa; Chordata; Mammalia; Rodentia; Bathyergidae
Gene: U2
Rfam family: U2 spliceosomal RNA
About the family: U2 is a small nuclear RNA (snRNA) component of the spliceosome (involved in pre-mRNA splicing). Complementary binding between U2 snRNA (in an area lying towards the 5' end but 3' to hairpin I) and the branchpoint sequence (BPS) of the intron results the bulging out of an unpaired adenosine, on the BPS, which initiates a nucleophilic attack at the intronic 5' splice site, thus starting the first of two transesterification reactions that mediate splicing.
Source: Ensembl
AUUACUUCUUGGCCUUUUGGCUAAGAUCAGGUGUAGUAUCUGUUCUUAUCAGUUCACUCUCUAAGGUGAGGUCAAUAUAUUAAAUGUAUGUUUCCAUCUGGGAGGUGAAAUGAGAGGUUGCUCUCUCCACACCAUGCUCGAUUCACCUGGUAGUGCAGUUCCUCAGGGAAGGGGAAGCGCA